GCCUGGCAGGUGUGGAGAGGCCCCAGAGAACCACAGAAGCAGCCGCAGAAGUGAUGAGUGAGCAAUCUCCAGGGAAAUGCCACAAGACUAGGCCGUGCAACAUUUCCGCAGUGCUCCUCGCUACAAAGACAUUCCCCUAAGGCUGGUGGGCAACUCAACACUCAGCUCAGUACGUGGUCAGCUCGUCCUCCAUAGGAGCCUUAUGCCUUGGUGAGGAGAUCUCUGAAGAAAUUGCUGAUGAAAGUCCAACAGGCUCUUCCAGUUUGUCUGGUCGGUCACAUUUGCUGAAACCUGGAGGAAUUGUUAGUGGAAGCUCAACAGGCCUGACUCAGUCUGACUGUCCAUUCUUCUGGAAGCUGCAGAGAAAAGAAACCUGGAAACCUUAUAUGCUGACAAAAAGGGACACAAUUGGAUAUGAUGGUUAUUUUACCAAGGUUUUGAAAUGUCGUGCUUUCAAAUAUAAACAGACUGCUUUAAGGAAUCGAAGUUGACUUAUAGAGCCAA
RNAcentral lists this long non-coding RNA (504 nucleotides) under Homo sapiens (human). Its description in RNAcentral is "HSALNT0327575". Lineage: Eukaryota; Metazoa; Chordata; Mammalia; Primates; Hominidae. The record is from RNAcentral.